This 468-nucleotide ribosomal RNA is filed under the name uncultured bacterium. Its description in RNAcentral is "partial 16S ribosomal RNA". It matches the Rfam family "Bacterial small subunit ribosomal RNA", at positions 28 to 507 of the family's 1533-position model. The record is from RNAcentral.
GACGAACGCUGGCGGCGUGCUUAACACAUGCAAGUCGAACGGAAAGGCCCUGCUUUUGUGGGGUGCUCGAGUGGCGAACGGGUGAGUAACACGUGAGUAACCUGCCCUUGACUUUGGGAUAACUUCAGGAAACUGGGGCUAAUACCGGAUAGGAGCUCCUGCUGCAUGGUGGGGGUUGGAAAGUUUCGGCGGUUGGGGAUGGACUCGCGGCUUAUCAGCUUGUUGGUGGGGUAGUGGCUUACCAAGGCUUUGACGGGUAGCCGGCCUGAGAGGGUGACCGGCCACAUUGGGACUGAGGUACGGCCCAGACCCCUACGGGAGGCAGCAGUGGGGAAUAUUGCACAAUGGGCGGAAGCCUGAUGCAGCAACGCCGCGUGCGGGAUGACGGCCUUCGGGUUGUAAACCGCUUUCGCCUGUGACGAAGCGUGAGUGACGGUAAUGGGUAAAGAAGCACCGGCUAACUACGUG